CGGGGACAGAGCGACAGCGGGGACAGAGCGACAGCCAUGGGACCGACAGCGCCGCUCCCGGCGCUCGCCGUUGUCACCGCUCUGCUGGCGGCCACCACCAUGGCCCAGGGUGCCGCGGGUCCCCUGCAGGUGGCGCUGUCGGCGGAGGGACAGACCCCGGAGCCGCCCGGUCCCGCCCGGCUGGAGGCGUCAGGAGAGAGUGA
Molecule: long non-coding RNA, 203 nt
Organism: Camarhynchus parvulus
Lineage: Eukaryota; Metazoa; Chordata; Aves; Passeriformes; Thraupidae
Exons: 4
Source: RefSeq, a predicted model, not a curated record